UGGGGUAUAGCCAAGUUGGUAAGGCAUCGGAUUUUGAUUCCGACAUGCGCAGGUUCAAGUCCUGCUACCCCAUCCA
This 76-nucleotide transfer RNA is filed under the name Pseudobdellovibrionaceae bacterium. Its description in RNAcentral is "Bdellovibrionaceae bacterium tRNA-Gln". It matches the Rfam family "tRNA". Rfam says of the family: Transfer RNA (tRNA) molecules are approximately 80 nucleotides in length. Their secondary structure includes four short double-helical elements and three loops (D, anti-codon, and T loops). Lineage: Bacteria; Pseudomonadati; Bdellovibrionota; Bdellovibrionia; Bdellovibrionales; Pseudobdellovibrionaceae. The record is from RNAcentral.